This is a long non-coding RNA of Coffea eugenioides, 2252 nucleotides long. RefSeq lists it as uncharacterized. The record is from RefSeq and is a predicted model, not a curated record. The transcript is spliced from 3 exons. Lineage: Eukaryota; Viridiplantae; Streptophyta; Magnoliopsida; Gentianales; Rubiaceae.
UGAUAGAUUUAGUGGUGCCAAUGACUAUGGCAAUGAUGAGGAAAUGUUGGACAUUCUGUUUUCCAAUGUUGAUGGCAGUGGUGAAACCUCACAGCAGUACCAGGGAGAUGACACCACAACUUACCAAACCCCGUCUUUGCAAGAGGCAGAGGUUUUAUACAUGCAAACAGAAACUGAUGUGGAAUCACAGCAGCAAGAUGCGAGAAAGAAACAAGUUAAGAGAAGAAAAACUAGACCAACAAACCAAUCGAGUCAAGAACUAGAGCAUAUAGAUUCACUCCAGCAAGAUUACAUCCCUAAUCACCUAAGUAGUGACAAUGGCUCAUCAGAUGAAGAAAAUGAUGAAUUCAAAGGGAGAUACAAGGAUUUUGUCCUAGAGAAAUUUCUCAAAGAUCCCAAAUUCGAGAUUGGAAUGAAAUUUGACUCAAGAGUUUAAUUCAAAUCUAUUGUUACUGAGUAUGGGAUUAGGAUGGGUAAACAUGUUUGGACCUGUACAAAUGAACCCAUCAGGGUGAGGGCCAAGUGUAGAAAGCCAUGUAAAUGGUUUGUAUUUGGUUCAAUAAAGAAGACUCUUAGCACAAAAGAUUUGGUAGUAAAAACUAUGUAUGAUGUUCAUGAAACAUGCAACCAUGCAUGAAAAAAUAAGAGUAGUACUACUAAGUGGUUGUCUAAUAGGUAUGUAGAGAAAAUAAGAUCAAACAACAAUCUGCCAACCAGAGAGUUACGGCAAAUGGUCCACUAAGACUAUAAGACAAAAAUCUCUAAGCAUGUUGCAGCUAAGACAACGACACUAGCCAUUGAGAAGAUUAAGGGGUCAGCUGAGUCACGGUACAAGAAAAGAUAGUAGUAUUGUGAAGAUAUUAAGAGGACUCAUCUUGGCAGUACAAUAGAUGUUAUGUUCACUCCAUUUAGAGAACCUGGAGGUAAUCCAAGGUCCAUGAGGAUGUACUGCUAUCUUAACCCACUGAAGAAAGGAUUUAAAGAUGGAUGCAGAUUUAUUUUGUGUUUGGAUGGGUGUCAUAUUAAAGGUAAAAAUUCAAGCCAACUGCUAACUGCUAUUGCUGUAGAUCCCAACAAUGGCAAUUGGCCAGUUGCAUGGGUAGCUGUUGAGAAGGAGGCUAUGGAGCAAUGGAGAUGAUUCUUGACCAUCUUGAGUGGCAACUUGGAAAUAGAAAAUCAGGGACAUUAUACUUUAAUGUCUGACCAACAAAAGGGACUGGAUAUGGCACUUGCUGAGGUUCUCCCAAAUUUUGAGCACGGACACUGUGUUCAACACAUAGAUAGAAAUUUCAAGAAGAAAUAUUCAAGAUUAGGUUUAAAAGACAGAUUGUGAAAUAUAGCAAGUUACACAAUAAUUGAACAUUUCAACAAAACCAUAAAUGAGAUUGAAGAAUAUGACAAAGAAGCACAUGCAUGGCUGAAGAAGAUAUCACGCUCUAGUCAUUGGUGUGAGGCCUUUUUUCCAAGACAUACAUAGUGUGAUAUACUGGUUAAUUACUUGUGUGAAUUAUUUAAUGGCCAUAUUUUAGAGGCUAGGGAAUAGCCUAUUAUUUUAUGAUGGAGGCCAUUAGAGAAUAUCUAAUGGAAAAUAUCCAAAAGAGAAGGACAACAAUAGAAAAAUACAAGUUAGAUGGUGGACCACUCAUUAGAGAUAUUGUGGAAGAAAGAGUUAAACGUGCAACACAAUGGGAGAUAACAUGGAAUGCAAAAACAAGUUAUCAAGCAAAAGGGCCACGGGAAGCCCAAUUGGUUGUUGACCUUGAGAAGAAUGAGUGUGCAUGCAAUUUAUGAGCUUGAGUGGCAUUCCAUGUUGUCAUGCAAUUGGUGUUCUACAUAGAACUAAUAAGGACCCACACAAGAUAUUGGCUGACUGCUGUCGCAGGGAGUUUUUCUUUACCAUCUAUGAUAAUGUAUUGUAGCCUAUUAAUGGAGACAUUCAAUAGUCACAAUUAGAUAUGCUGGAGGUGGACCCACUAGCAAGUGUCACUCAACCUGGCAGGCUAAAGAAAGUUUGGAGGAGAGAUGUUACAAAAGGAAAAGAUCAUGACAAAAGGUUGCGAAGGAAGAUUGUUAUCCAUUGUAGAAAGUGUAGAAGGAUUGGGCAUAAUGCUGUGACUUGCAAGAAUCCUCCUAAAUCAUCUAAUGUACAACAAACUUCUUAACAACCAGCAGCUACUGAACAACCAUGUAAUUAGCAGCAACAAGCUCCAACAAAAAGACAUGUAAGCAACAACUAGGGACAAAGAAAGUAG